AACGGACGAGAAGCUUGCUUNCUCUGAUGUUAGCGGCGGACGGGUGAGUAACACGUGGAUAACCUACCUAUAAGACUGGGAUAACUUCGGGAAACCGGAGCUAAUACCGGAUAAUAUUUUGAACCGCAUGGUUCAAAAGUGAAAGACGGUCUUGCUGUCACUUAUAGAUGGAUCCGCGCUGCAUUAGCUAGUUGGUAAGGUAACGGCUUACCAAGGCAACGAUGCAUAGCCGACCUGAGAGGGUGAUCGGCCACACUGGAACUGAGACACGGUCCAGACUCCUACGGGAGGCAGCAGUAGGGAAUCUUCCGCAAUGGGCGAAAGCCUGACGGAGCAACGCCGCGUGAGUGAUGAAGGUCUUCGGAUCGUAAAACUCUGUUAUUAGGGAAGAACAUAUGUGUAAGUAACUGUGCACAUCUUGACGGUACCUAAUCAGAAAGCCACGGCUAACUACGUGCCAGCAGCCGCGGUAAUACGUAGGUGGCAAGCGUUAUCCGGAAUUAUUGGGCGUAAAGCGCGCGUAGGCGGUUUUUUAAGUCUGAUGUGAAAGCCCACGGCGACUCAACCGUGGAGGGUCAUUGGAAACUGGAAAACUUGAGUGCAGAAGAGGAAAGUGGAAUUCCAUGUGUAGCGGUGAAAUGCGCAGAGAUAUGGAGGAACACCAGUGGCGAAGGCGACUUUCUGGUCUGUAACUGACGCUGAUGUGCGAAAGCGUGGGGAUCAAACAGGAUUAGAUAACCCCUGGUAGUCCACGCCGUAAACGAUGAGUGCUAAGUGUUAGNGGGUUUCCGCCCCUCUUUAGUGCUGCAGCUAACGCAUUAAGCACUUCCGCCUGGGGAGUACGACCGCAAGGUUGAAACUCAAAGGAAUUGACGGGGACCCGCACAAGCGGUGGAGCAUGUGGUUUAAUUCGAAGCAACGCGAAGAACCUUACCAAAUCUUGACAUCCUUUGACAACUCUAGAGAUAGAGCCUUCCCCUUCGGGGGACAAAGUGACAGGUGGUGCAUGGUUGUCGUCAGCUCGUGUCGUGAGAUGUUGGGUUAAGUCCCGCAACGAGCGCAACCCUUAAGCUUAGUUGCCAUCAUUAAGUUGGGCACUCUAAGUUGACUGCCGGUGACAAACCGGAGGAAGGUGGGGAUGACGUCAAAUCAUCAUGCCCCUUAUGAUUUGGGCUACACACGUGCUACAAUGGACAAUACAAAGGGCAGCGAAACCGCGAGGUCAAGCAAAUCCCAUAAAGUUGUUCUCAGUUCGGAUUGUAGUCUGCAACUCGACUACAUGAAGCUGGAAUCGCUAGUAAUCGUAGAUCAGCAUGCUACGGUGAAUACGUUCCCGGGUCUUGUACACACCGCCCCGUCACACCACGAGAGUUUGUAACACCCGAAGCCGGUGGAGUAACCUUUUAAGGAGCUAGCCGUCGAAGGUGGGACAAAU
This 1435-nucleotide ribosomal RNA is filed under the name Staphylococcus sp. C20. RNAcentral describes it as "bacterial SSU rRNA". It matches the Rfam family "Bacterial small subunit ribosomal RNA". The record is from RNAcentral. Lineage: Bacteria; Bacillati; Bacillota; Bacilli; Caryophanales; Staphylococcaceae.